Molecule: ribosomal RNA, 370 nt
Filed under: uncultured organism
Description: bacterial SSU rRNA
Rfam family: Bacterial small subunit ribosomal RNA
Source: RNAcentral
CGUAGGAUCCUAGCGUUGUCCGGAUUUACUGGGUGUAAAGGGUGCGCAGGCGGACUUGUAAGUCAGAGGUGAAAUCUCGGCGCUUAACGCCGAAACUGCCUUUGAUACUAUAAGUCUUGAGUUUGGUAGAGAUCCGUGGAAUUCCGAGUGUAGCAGUGAAAUGUGUAGAUAUUCGGAAGAACACCAGCGGCGAAGGCAGCGGAUUGGGCCAAUACUGACGCUCAGGCACGAAAGCAUGGGGAUCAAACAGGAUUAGAUACCCUGGUAGUCCAUGCCCUAAACGAUGUACACUUGAUGUCGGCCUUUAACGGGUCGAUGUCGGAGCUAACGUGUUAAGUGUACCACCGUGGGGAGUACGCUCGCAAGGGUG